This 549-nucleotide unclassified non-coding RNA is filed under the name Paecilomyces brunneolus. RNAcentral describes it as "sequence contains 18S rRNA gene, ITS1, 5.8S rRNA gene, ITS2, 28S rRNA gene". The stretch from base 228 to 381 matches the Rfam family "5.8S ribosomal RNA". The record is from RNAcentral. Lineage: Eukaryota; Fungi; Ascomycota; Eurotiomycetes; Eurotiales; Thermoascaceae.
UCGUAACAAGGUUUCCGUAGGUGAACCUGCGGAAGGAUCAUUACCGAGUGAGGGUCCCUCGAGGCCCAACCUCCCAUCCGUGUUGACUUAACACCUGUUGCUUCGGCGGGCCCGCCGUGGUUCACGCCCGGCCGCCGGGGGGUUCACGCCCCCGGGCCCGCGCCCGCCGAAGACCCCUCGAACGCUGCCUCGAAGGUUGCCGUCUGAGUAUACAAUCAAUAAAUUAAAACUUUCAACAACGGAUCUCUUGGUUCCGGCAUCGAUGAAGAACGCAGCGAAAUGCGAUAAGUAAUGUGAAUUGCAGAAUUCCGUGAAUCAUCGAAUCUUUGAACGCACAUUGCGCCCCCUGGCAUUCCGGGGGGCAUGCCUGUCCGAGCGUCAUUGCUAACCCUCCAGCCCGGCUGGUGUGUUGGGCCGUCGUCCCCCCCGGGGGACGGGCCCGAAAGGCAGCGGCGGCGUCGCGUCCGGUCCUCGAGCGUAUGGGGCUUUGUCACGCGCUUUAGUAGAACCGGCCGGCUUGCUGGCCAACGACCUUCACGGUCACCUAUA